AUCCAAAACAGUAGCUGAAGGGUCUUU
This 27-nucleotide non-coding RNA is filed under the name Bombyx mori (domestic silkworm). The record is from RNAcentral. Lineage: Eukaryota; Metazoa; Arthropoda; Insecta; Lepidoptera; Bombycidae.